Molecule: long non-coding RNA, 2650 nt
Organism: Oryzias javanicus (javanese ricefish)
Lineage: Eukaryota; Metazoa; Chordata; Actinopteri; Beloniformes; Adrianichthyidae
Source: Ensembl
GCCUAUUUUGUUUAUUCUUCAAUAGAUAGUACACAAGGAAGACAGUAUGUCUUUUGUUACUUAUAGGGGAUACAGUUGGAUAUAAGGAAACAUUUUAAUUUUAUAAAUAUGACAUUUAUCAAAUACGAAGUAUAAACGAAACCGAGCUUCAUAUUUUAACUGUCUAAAUGUCUGUCAAGGGUUUAAUGCUUUUUACAUAAAGUGUCAUCUCGUUCUAAAAAAUAUAAAACAUUGUUUUGUCAGAAUAUUUGCACGUCUGUGAGUAAUAUUUAGCCAUAAAUACUAAUUUGUUUACCUGUUAUUCAUUCUGUCGCUAGAUGAUGACGAAAACGGAAGUUACGCUAGUAAACACUAGAGCCACUCAAAACUCUUUUUUUGUGUGUGUAAUGGAUGUAAGCAGUUUCAGUUCGCGGCUGCUGCACAGCUAUUCAAAGAACACCUAGCUGAUGUGUUGCGUGAAAUCGAGCUGAUCAUAUAGGAAACACGGAUAUUGUUUCCUUCUGUUCUUCAAGAAAUUUUCAUUCAGUUUCAGACCAUGGGUCGGCUGGAUGAUGCAGCAAAAUACAAAGUCGUGGAGCUUCGGAAGGCCGGACUCAGUUUCCGUAAGAUCAAAGCUGUGCUGGAGCUGGAGAACAUCAAAGUCUCGGCACAGGCCAUCUACCUCUACCUGAGGGAGUUCCAGGGUAGACCGCCAGGGAGGGUCAGACCUGCAGAAGUUGGAGGCAGCUCUGUCGUAGCUCAGGUCGCACCUAGAUCGGGAGCAUUGCGUGAAAGCUGGAGCAAUAACCAUCUCCAAAAUCUAAUACGGGAGUCACCUCAUCAUUCAGGAUUUGCGACUGCUUCGGGUUUCCCCAAGCAGUCGUCCACAAAUUCCGAAACAAGUGGAAAUGCGUCGAGUUCUGGGGAGACCAGCGGAGGCAGCCGACUAGAGCAGCAGCACGGGGCAAAUAAAGAAGAGAACGACAUUCAGAUUGUAAGUGUCACUUCUCUUGCACAGCAAGAACAAAAAAGAGUUCCCCAUACUGGAAAUGCAGUAGAAGCUUGUGCUUCCUCCACUUCAACAGCUUCAAAUGUAUUGAGGAGAAGAGUCACACCCUCACCCGCAACAAGUUCAAUACUGGCAGCUCGAAGGAGACUUUUGGAUAAAGCACUGUCACACAAAACAAAGGUACAAAAAAGUCUAUUAAUGCCCACUUUUAUCAUAAAUGGGUUGUUUGAAAUCAUUUGUUUGCAAUUUAUUCUUCAACAGGUGUUAUCGUUGUUGAGAAAAGAUCCCUUAAGUUUACAAAGUUCUGAUCCGAAGGGUGCUCUCUCGCAGUUGCCCGAAACCUACGAUUUGACCUCAGAAAAGACUGUUAUUGACGGUCAGCUCAGAGGAGAAGGAUCCUCCCGAAGCUUCCCUACACAAAGACCAGGACUGAGUCUCCGUUCCUUCCAGCUCCCUCCCCGUGUUGGGAUUCGUCUUCCCAACCGCCCACAACCCCCUCUGACGUCCUCAGCUUCAAGGCCCUCUCUCGCUCAUUUACAAACUCCUGGAAGCCAGGCGCCAACUUGCAGAGAAGGAAAUCCAAGCCCACACCAGGCGGUCCAAGACUCCGGAAGCAGGAGCGGUUUGCAGGACCAGAUUCAGGUUUUAGGCACUGAGGUGCGCAGUUUGGGUCUGGCGGUUAAAAUGCUGGUAGAGCAGCAGUGCCGGCUGGAAAGAGAGCAACUGCAGCAGACGCAGAUUCAAAAGCAGAUACUCGGCACUCUUCAGAGCUUCGCCUCCAAAAUUGGACAUUGCAGCAGCGGUCGACAGCAGCUCAGCAAAACCCCAUCACCCUCCUCUUUGCCAGCAGCCUCUGGUCCUUCCUCCUUCAGUCAAGACUCCUUCAGUUUCAGUCAAGGAACCUACAAUCAGUGCAGCCAAACGCAGCCGAAUUAUAAAUCCUUAGAAAGCCUGCAAAAUGUGGAGGCUAUGAGGCUGCCAGCGCUCAGCCCGACUAACAUGAAUGGGUUUCCGUCGUGUAGCAAUGCAGAGAACCAACCACUUUCUCACAGUACCCCUCAAAGCCAACCCUACCCCACUGCUUACACCCCCCAGAGCAGUCAAACACUCGUCUCACCUUACUCAGAGUCAUUCAUUUCCUCCUAUAGCAAGUCACAUACUCAGAGUUUUAAAACACCAGAGAGUAAAACAUCUGAGUUUACAAGCAGUUGUUCAAGGAUUUUUCAAGACUGUGUCUUGUCCCCUCAGCAAGGGAUGAACUCCAGUCUGUCUGCGCAGGAUCAGCAGAUCAACAGUAUCAAAGUGGAAGGACCUUAGAGAGAUGGGUUUUUUUUUAUUUGUUGGAGAGCCAGGAGGUUCUGGAUGAGCACUGUGACUGCAACACUGCUUUCCCUGAAAUGUUUGUACGUAGUAUAAUAAUAUAAUAAUUAAUGUAGCAUUUUUAAAAAUCGUUUUCAUUUAUAAUUUUACAAAACAACAAUGCUUCCUCAUUAUUGAAGUUUUGUCUUUACAAUAGGAAAAGAUCAGUGAUUGAAAGAAAACUUUUGUAAAAAAAAGAACUGUAAAUUGUUGUAUCUGUUUGCCUUGAAGUACUAAGACUUGCAACAGGAACUAUACAUUUUCAAUCUUGUAUUAUGGGUGAUUAAAAUAAAAAAAUGAUCA